GGGGGGGGGGGGGGGGGGGGCGGGGGGGGGGGGGGGGGGGGGGGGGGGGGGGGGCUGGCUCCUCGGACGGGGGCGGCGGACGGGGGAGGAACACGGGGGGAACCUACCUAUAAGACUGGGAUAACUUCGGGAAACCGGAGCUAAUACCGGAUAAUCUAUGGAACCGCAUGGUUCAAUAGUGACAGACGGGUUUGCUGUCACUCAUAGAUGGCUCCGCGCCGCAUUAGCCAGUGCGUAAGGUAACGGCUUACCAAGGCAACGAUGCGUAGCCGACCCGAGAGGGUGAGCGGCCACACGGGAACUGAGACACGGUCCAGACUCCUACGGGAGGCAGCAGUAGGGAAUCUUCCGCAAUGGGCGAAAGCCUGACGGAGCAACGCCGCGUGAGUGAUGAAGGUCUUCGGAUCGUAAAACUCUGUUAUUAGGGAAGAACAAAUGUGUAAGUAACUAUGCACGUCUUGACGGUACCUAAUCAGAAAGCCACGGCUAACUACGUG
This 497-nucleotide ribosomal RNA is filed under the name uncultured bacterium. RNAcentral describes it as "partial 16S ribosomal RNA". It matches the Rfam family "Bacterial small subunit ribosomal RNA", at positions 38 to 507 of the family's 1533-position model. The record is from RNAcentral.